This 381-nucleotide ribosomal RNA is filed under the name uncultured archaeon. RNAcentral's name for it is "bacterial SSU rRNA". It matches the Rfam family "Archaeal small subunit ribosomal RNA", at positions 345 to 727 of the family's 1478-position model. The record is from RNAcentral.
AACCUUUACAAUGCACGAAAGUGUGAUAAGGGGAUCCCAAGUGCCUUACUUUUAGUAAGGCUUUUGCCAUGUGUAAAAGGCAUGGCGAAUAAGUGGUGGGCAAGACUUGUGCCAGCCGCCGCGGUAACACCAGCGCCACAAGUGGCAACCGCUUUUAUUGGGCCUAAAGCGUCCGUAGCCUGUUUAGUAAAUUUUCUGUGAAAUUGUUGGGCUUAACUUAACAUCGUGCAGGAAAGACUGCUAGACUAGGGACCGGGAGGCGUCAGAGGUAUUCUUGAGGGAGUGGUAAAAUGCUAUAAUCUCAGGAGGACCACCAGUGGCGAAGGCGUCUGACGAGAACGGAUCCGACGGUAAGGGACGAAAGCUAGGGGAGCAAACCGG